AAUCGAAGGGGAGAUCAACCUGCGGUGGAGGCGCUCGCUCGAGCGAGGAGGAAGACGAGGGAGCUAGGGGGCUGGCUGGGGCGCUCGGCGGCGGCGCUCGCGCGACGAGGAGGGAGGAAGACGAGCCACGGAGCGAGAGGGGAAGAAAAUCCUACGAGACCUGAUCUGGUCUAGUUGUCCAUCGAGUUUAACCCCACCCACCUUUCGGCUUCGUUCGUUUGGGUUCACGACCCGAUCCCCGUGGAUCACCCAGGCCGGGGACCCAAUCCCCGUGGAUCAACCAGGCCGGGGAUUAAAUUUCCUCUUCGGUUAUGCCCCGUGGCCCGUGCAGAUCCCAACCCGGCCCAUUCCCUCCAUGUCCCUCCAGAUCCCAACCUGGAGACGGCGGCGGCGGUGUCACCAUCCGAAGGCGACGACGGCGGUGUGCUCCACCCUCCCUCGCGCGCGACCUGGAUCACAACAGUGGCGUCGCAACCCCUGCCUUCCCCCUCUCGCGCGCGACCCGGAGCUGAGCGGCGGCGGCCCGCUAGCUCUCGCUCUUUUAUGUUUUCUUUGGUUGCUGGCAAAAUAGCAAUGAAGUCUGUUCAUUGUAAGGCAGUUGCAGGUUGGAUGGGUUCAUUUAUUUAUUGCAAGCAACCACCCUUUUAUGUUUUCUUUGGUUUAUCUAUAACUCUGCAGCAGUACUUGCGGAGAUGUACUGUGGAGGAAUCCAAACUCUUGGAGCAACUUGAAUAUCUCUAAAUGUUUUGAUCUUCCUCUGCUGAAUGAUGAGAACAUGCGGAGAGCUAUAUUUGGUGAUCACCAUUCUGCUGGGACUAGCAUUUGUGGCGAUACACAAUCUGCAACAUCUUUUCCCAGACUGGACGGAACUGACUAUAAGUUUGGCUUUCGGUUUGAUGACUUGGAAUAUGUCCGCCAAGAGGAUGAUAGAAGGACCUUGGGAGGACCUUUAUGCAUUUCCGACUCUUCUUCCAUGUGUAAAUGAAAAUGUCACGUUGUCGCAGAUCUUACCUCUGCAGAGAGAUAGCACACUUGCGUCGAGAGUUCUGAAAGUUUAUUCAGAGCAUGGCUUUGAAAGACCUCCUUCAUCCAGUGGGUAUUAUCCAAGAAUGCCUUUCUAAAUGUGUGGAUCACAUUGGAAAGCAAAUCAUAUGCAAGCUAACGGUUGAAUGGAGAUUAAUGGACGGACACUUAGUAUUACGAGCUAUCCAUUUGCUAGGAUCAGGUGUGCUAUACGGUGACAUGCUGCAGCAGUUUCUGAUAACAAUUUUUGAUAAGCUCGAUAAGGGGAAUUCCUGGGAUGAUGAUUUUUAGUUGAAUACUUUAUUGCAGGAAUCCAUCAUUUUAUGGAUGUCUCUGGGUGUUCAAAGCCCUAACAGAUAAAAGGGAUGUUUCUACUGGCUGCUCGAAGAUUCAGACAUGGGGCACAUACAGAAUAUAUCAUCUCUUACGACUCUGAUGAUCUAUAUCCAGGAAGUAACUCAGGUGUUGGAAAGAUGAGGUGAGGUCUAAACAUAACUUCCGUUUUGCUAGCUGAUCGGUGGGAUAUGAGUACACUUCUGUUGAUUAAAUGUCAAGUCACUAGAAGUCUAGAACUAUAAUGUGAUUAUGUAGACAUAGGAACCAGGCAUUGUAGUGCUGUUGUUUUAUCAGGUAAUGAAGAACUAGGAAAUGUGCUAGCUGACUUUCUGCUUAUGUUCAGCUAGCUCUUCCCAAUCCACAGUUUUGAGUUAUUUCCUUGUAAGCCAAUUGAUUUGGCUGCUUUUUUAUGUUAGUUUCUUCGCAGCAAUACUUCACUUCAGUCAAUGUGGAUCAAACUAGGACCUCAUAGAAUCUCUUUGACAAUCUAUGCCAAUCUGUCGCCCCAGCUGGCACCAGUAACCCACGGGGUGUUGGGAGACGAGGAGACAGUCAUCCUGCAGUUUGGGAAAAUUGAGGACGAUGCAUUCACGAUGGAUUUCCGGUAUCCCCUUGUCAGCCUUCCAGGCGUUCGCCAUCUGCCUCGCUUGUGAAUAAGUGUGACUGUUGAUCUAUCAUGCAUAGUGGAUGGCGGAUAAACGUGUAAAAAAAUAGUGGAUGGGGGAUAAUCCGGAACUAUCAUGCCCUGUUAAUAGAGAAAAGGGAUUAAGGAACCGUGACACACCGUGUUCACAAUCUCACUGUUCUCUUGUCUAAUGUUGAAGCAAUGUGCACUCAACACUGCUGUGAUGAUUAUUGUUGUAAAUGAUGCUCCAUUUCUUUU
Molecule: long non-coding RNA, 2242 nt
Organism: Brachypodium distachyon (stiff brome)
Lineage: Eukaryota; Viridiplantae; Streptophyta; Magnoliopsida; Poales; Poaceae
Exons: 6
Source: RefSeq, a predicted model, not a curated record